Molecule: non-coding RNA, 181 nt
Filed under: Desulfurispirillum indicum S5
Lineage: Bacteria; Pseudomonadati; Chrysiogenota; Chrysiogenia; Chrysiogenales; Chrysiogenaceae
Also listed under: 1 other name
Source: RNAcentral
CUGUUCGAGCUUUUUUCCGGUGUCCACAGGUGUGGAUGAAAAGGGAAGAGGGGUGUAAAUCCCCCGCGGACCCGCCACUGUAAGCGACGACAAGGGAUCACAUGCCACUGGCCACGGGCCGGGAAGGCGAUCCGGAGGACGAAUCGUGAGCCAGGAGACCUGCCGGAAAGGGUCACUACAC